AGAGUUUGAUCAUGGCUCAGGACGAACGCUUGCGGCGUGCCUAAGAAAUGCAAGUCGAACGGGGUUAGCAGUAAUGCUGAUUCAGUGGCGAACGGUCGCGUAACACGUAAGCAACCUGCCUCGAAGUUUGGGAUAACAGUCUGAAAAGACUGCUAAUACCGGAUGUGGUCCAUUGGCGGCAUCGUUGAUGGUCUAAAGAUUUAUUGCUUCGAGAUGGGCUUGCGGCCUAUCAGGUAGUUGGUGGGGUAAUGGCCUACCAAGCCGACGACGGGUAGCUGGUCUGAGAGGACGAUCAGCCGGAUUGGGACUGAGAUACGGCCCAGACUCCUACGGGGGGCAGCAAUUAGGAAUCUUGCACAAUGGGGGCAACCCUGAUGCAGCGACGCCGCGUGAAGGAUGAAGCUUCUCGGAGUGUAAACUUCUUUUGAUGGGGAAGAAACAAAUGACGGUACCCAUCGAAUCAGCCCCGGCUAGCUACGUGCCAGCAGCCGCGGUAAUAC
This 500-nucleotide ribosomal RNA is filed under the name uncultured bacterium. RNAcentral's name for it is "bacterial SSU rRNA". It matches the Rfam family "Bacterial small subunit ribosomal RNA", at positions 8 to 526 of the family's 1533-position model. The record is from RNAcentral.